Molecule: non-coding RNA, 30 nt
Filed under: Mus musculus (house mouse)
Lineage: Eukaryota; Metazoa; Chordata; Mammalia; Rodentia; Muridae
Source: RNAcentral
UAUCUUCAAUGACAUGCCAUAUAUUAUAGU